Long non-coding RNA from Rhinolophus ferrumequinum (greater horseshoe bat), 174 nucleotides. RefSeq lists it as uncharacterized. Lineage: Eukaryota; Metazoa; Chordata; Mammalia; Chiroptera; Rhinolophidae. The transcript has 2 exons. The record is from RefSeq and is a predicted model, not a curated record.
UGAUCCCGGCCCGGCGGCCGACUAGCCAAUUGCCCGGAGGUAAGCGAGGGCUGGGAAUCGCCUGGAUGCACGUGCGGAGGUUUCCUCUCGCCCAGUCGAGGCCGGAAGUGAUGGAUUGUCAUCCCAAACAGAUGAUUCUGCUCUUAUAUUAAUAAAUACGGAUGUGAGAACCUU